This 116-nucleotide ribosomal RNA is filed under the name Danio rerio (zebrafish). Lineage: Eukaryota; Metazoa; Chordata; Actinopteri; Cypriniformes; Danionidae. The record is from RNAcentral.
UCCAUAGUCAUAUCACCUUCCAGCCCAAGUCCGGUUACUUACUGAAGCUAAGCAGGGCUGAGCCUGGUGCAUCCCUGGAUGGGAGACCACAAUGGAAAACUAGGUUGCUGUUAGAA